UGGGGAAUUUUGGACAAUGGGCGAAAGCCUGAUCCAGCAAUGCCGCGUGUGUGAAGAAGGCCUUCGGGUUGUAAGCACUUUUGUCCGGAAAGAAAUGGCUCUGGUUAAUACCUGGGGUCGAUGACGGUACCGGAAGAAUAAGGACCGGCUAACUACGUGCCAGCAGCCGCGGUAAUACGUAGGGUCCAAGCGUUAAUCGGAAUUACUGGGCGUAAAGCGUGCGCAGGCGGUUGUGCAAGACCGAUGUGAAAUCCCGAGCUUAACUUGGGAGUUGCAUUGGUGACUGCACGGCUAGAGUGUGUCAGAGGGGGGUAGAAUUCCACGUNUAGCAGUGAAAUGCGUAGAGAUGUGGAGGGAAUACCGAUGGCGAAGGCAGCCCCUGGGAUAACACUGACGCUCAUGGCACGAAAGCGUGGGGAGCAAACAGGAUUAGAUACCCUGGUAGUCCACGCUGUAAA
Molecule: ribosomal RNA, 458 nt
Filed under: uncultured bacterium
Lineage: Bacteria
Description: partial 16S ribosomal RNA
Rfam family: Bacterial small subunit ribosomal RNA
Source: RNAcentral